RNAcentral lists this non-coding RNA (26 nucleotides) under Mus musculus (house mouse). Lineage: Eukaryota; Metazoa; Chordata; Mammalia; Rodentia; Muridae. The record is from RNAcentral.
UGAGCAAGCAGGUUUCAAGCUGGGGG